This 1405-nucleotide long non-coding RNA is filed under the name Manihot esculenta (cassava). Its description in RNAcentral is "long non-coding RNA (MESC_LNC009821)". The record is from RNAcentral. Lineage: Eukaryota; Viridiplantae; Streptophyta; Magnoliopsida; Malpighiales; Euphorbiaceae.
UGAACAUUUACAUAAAUAAAGUCCCUCUGUGGGAUCUCAACAAGCCUCGAAGGGCUAUACAACAUAUGGAGAGUUGGUUUACUUAAACAUCAUAACAUAAAGAUCAUGUAAAGAUACAAAUGGGAUUAUCAACAUACUAUGGUCAAGCACAGCUCUAUCCUCAAUAACAUUAAUACAUAAAAAGACUAAUCAACUAUACAUCAUUUUACAAAUUUGUCAUGUCCACAAAUCUAUCUAUUACAAACAUGUGACUUUUCUCUUCAUAGCCUUCUCUAUCUAUCCCGUACCUGCAAAUCUGGGGGUUAGGGGAGAGGGGUGAGCUAGAUGCCCAGUGAGUAGAACUCUAAAAAGAAUAUUUUAAAACAUGUUAUCAUGGAAUGCAUCACUGCACAAACAUUUCACAUCAUGGACGGACUGACCCAAAAAUCCCUCAGCUCCAUGCCCGGCCCUAUUAUGGGCACCACAGGACUUCGUAUUGCCCGGCCCUAUUAUGGGCACCACAGGACUUCGUAGAUCGGAGCUAUUGCCCGGCCCUAUUAUGGGCACCACAGGACUUCGUACAAAGGGCUAGUGAGUCGUGCAAUGUCCAUCCCCCAUCAACAACAAAUAAUAAUGCAAUGCAACAUAAUUCGUGAUUCUAAUGCAAAUAACCUAUAAUAUAAUCAUGAUGCAUGAAGCAUGAUAAAAACAUUUAAUUUCUUAAUUUAAAAGGUUAAGUAUAGUCCCACUCACCUCUGGCUGACUCUGACAACUCUGUAGCAGCUGGCUCACUGCUGGGGUCCUUGGUUCCUCGGGUCCGAACCUACACAGGUGGACUCCAAUGAGGGACCAAACAUAUAUAAACAUGACUCUAAUAUAUCCCCCAAAAAGCCCCUAAAACAUCAUGAAAACAUCACAGAAAAUAUGCAUGAAAUGGCUGAACAGGGCACUUUCGGCGGCACCUUCGGCGGCCGAAAGUCCUGGACAGAGACGAAACUCAGCUAGGUUCGGCGGCACCUUCGGCGGCCGAAAGUGCCAGACAGAGACGAAAGUCUCUUUUCAGGGGCAACUUCGGCAGCCGAAAGGCCUGCCUCCCCAGCCAUGUUCGGCGGCCGAAAGUACCUUCGGCUGCCGAACCUGGUUUCUGCCAAAGGGCAGAAACUUGGCUCCCUUUGCCCAUUUCGCCUCCAAACCUACCAAUCAUGCAUAUUUUUCAACCCAAAGCAUGCAUACAAGUUCCUAGGGGCCUCAAACAAGUAUAUGCCCCAUCUACAACACUCCACAAACACACAAUCAAGCUACAUUGUUCAUCAAACAUCAAAAACCUAACAUUUACUCAAACAUGCAUAUAUCCCUAAACAUGCCAUUCUACCCCAUGAAUCUUGCAUAAAACUUGUUUAAAAUAUAAAAAGACUUCAAGAUCGAC